RNAcentral lists this non-coding RNA (62 nucleotides) under Crenobacter luteus. RNAcentral describes it as "Fluoride sequence". It matches the Rfam family "Fluoride riboswitch aptamer (crcB RNA motif)". Lineage: Bacteria; Pseudomonadati; Pseudomonadota; Betaproteobacteria; Neisseriales; Neisseriaceae. The record is from Rfam by way of RNAcentral.
CGCAGCGUGGGAGAUGGCAUGCCUCCCUAACCGCCUUUACGGCUGAUGAUGCCUACACGCGA